Cervus elaphus (red deer) is the source of this 2267-nucleotide long non-coding RNA. RefSeq lists it as uncharacterized. Lineage: Eukaryota; Metazoa; Chordata; Mammalia; Artiodactyla; Cervidae. The transcript is spliced from 3 exons. The record is from RefSeq and is a predicted model, not a curated record.
CAAAGUUCAAAACACACACCAAUACACUUAAGAAGGAAGAAGGACAUCGGAAAUAAAUAAAUGAAAUUUAUUGUUUAAUUUGAUUGCCUCGAAGAUAAUAUGUUCAGCAAGGAUAUGAGUAUAACCAAUAUGGAAAAAGUUAAAAAAAAAUUAAGAGGAGGAAGUAGUGCCAACCUCAUCCUUUAGAAAUAAGGAAAGAUGUUUCAAGACAAAAAUCUUUUCCACUCCUCACUAAAGAUUCUUGGCCUGUUCAGUUCUCGUCUCAAGAGCAUGGCUGCAGAACAUCAGAUUCACUAGUUCUUGUUCCUUCCAAGCGCCCGCCCCCCACCCAUGCUUAUCUGAAUAUAUAAGCCUGCCCUUUGCUCAGAUUUAUGGGUCGGGCCAGAGCUGUGUGUAUUUACAGUGUUCUGACCUGAAGACCCUGGGCUGAAGGAGAAGAGGAGGAAACCAGGCCCAUUCCAUAAACAGAGACAGAUAUGAGGGGGAGGUAGAAGGCCUUGCUAGCACUUAACAUUUUUAACUAUUUGGCCAAGCUUAAGAAUUAGUGAUUAGAUUAGAGCAAAAGUAGAAUGAGAGACCGGAGUGCAGACUUGGUGGGGGGGAGUAAACUGUAUUUUUGGCCUAGGUUGGGGGAUGGGAGUGGGGUUAAAUGUAAUGUGGAAGGUCUGAGAGAAAAUUGAUAACUCAGAUGCAGAGGGAGCUAUAAAAUGCUUUGGGAAGGCAGAGGGUGUACAAAGAGGAGGAUAUAAACUGCCUUCAAUAAGUUAGAAAUUUUCUCCAACCACAACUUGCAUUUCUUGUGUGAAGCAGGACUGCUUGCAUUCUUUAAACUGUAAAGGGUCAUCGAAGAAAAAUCUCCUGCUCCAUGCUUAAAUGAGAACACAUUGCCAUAGAUUACCAAAACCUAAUCAAUUGUGAGUUGAAAUAUUUUUCUCAGGGUCUGGUGGCCACUUGAAAGCAAUUCCAUUUUCAAACAGGAGUGCUUGGUAAAAGGGACCACCCCCAUGCAGAGCUCUGGUCCACAUGCCAGUUCAAAUGGGAAAGAGCAUGCAAUGGACUCCAAGCUGCUCGGCACCCAAAAACUGAACCGUACACCCCCAGGGCGACAUCUUUACCCAUAAACCAAAUGUGAAAGUACAACUUCUCUCUGGGCCAUUCUCAAAUAACCUACUUGCUGGAAAAACUUGAGUGCAUGCAGAAAAACUGGCCUACUGACUGACUAAAUUAGAAAUAAUCUGGCAUCCAUAAGUAAAGUCUACAAUAUUCACUGGAGACCUCCAAAGCAAAGCAACUGGGACAACACAUCACCACAGGUGAAAUCUCUCUCAGCAGCUGGCUUAUGAAAUAAUGGGAAGGGAGGCCUUAAUGAGCAGAAAGCACCCUCAGCUGGAGAUAAAUAUAUGCAAAUGAGAUGCACAAACAAAGGAGCCUGGACAGAGAAAUAUCUGCAAUUCCAGCAAAAUGCUGCCUGCAGCUCGAAGAUGAACAGCUUUGAUAAAAUGGAAUUAAGCCCCAAUCCCAGUCUCUUGCCGGAAGACAGGCUGGACCCAGGACAGAGAAAUUGCUGCACGUGAACAUAUGUAUGAUGCUUAGGUUAAUAAUCAAAGCAGUUAAGGUGAGAGAUGUAACACUAGACACUUCACAUGUAUCCAAAUACCAUCACUCUAAAAGCUCUGCAAUAUUUGGUUCUUUCAUUUAUAAUCCAAUCUUCACAUUCUGAGUAAAGAUGUACAGUCCUUUACUUAAAUUAUUUCAUCUUGGUUGCCUGGAUUGGAGCAGAGACAUUUCUUCUGAGUACUGUGGAGCUUUCACAUUUUAUGUGCAUUUCAUCAGGCAAAUGUCAAAUUUGCUAAUAACAAGAAAAUCUCCUCAUUUUUAAUCAUGCCACUCCUGUUGCAUGGGUUGGGGGUGGGGGGAGGAGGGAGUGGAGGAGGAAAUAUAAAGCACUGAGCAGUCUGACCAAAGAGCAGAAGGAGAAAAUGUUUCUUUGGGUUUGGAAACGACACAUGCUUGGUUAUCUCCAUGCCUGCAUCAGCACAUCAUUAAAUUCAGAAAUUCAGGAGUUAACAGAAACUUGGUUCUAUUAGAGAUGCUUUUGCCAGCCCAGGUUUGAGGCAGCAUAAUUACGCUCAACUGCUGUUGUCUGGAAAGGGCAAACAGCAUCUUAGGCACAGAACAAUGAAAUCACAGCUGAGAUUUAGGUUAGCAAAAGCCAGCUUCUCUAGGCUUUUAUGAUUCAUUAUUUCCCAUUAAAUACAGUAUUAGAA